UCUCUCUGGUUGCAACAUCUGUUACCCCAUUGGGUGCCAGGGUUGAUUCGGCUGAUCUGACUGGCUAGACGGGUGUUCCCUUCCUCCCUCACUGCUCCAUGUGGUUCCCUCCUGAAGCUGUGUUCUCAGUCAAAGAGGAUGACCUUCCCCAUUGAAGAGAGGACCAAUCUUUGGUCAAGGUCAUAUGAUUAGCUGUGCCCCACUUCUAGAACCUCCAAAUAAGCUCCAGUUAAUUUUUUGAAAGUUCAUUUAAAAAACACAUUGCAUCUUGUUUCCCCAUUUAAUUGAUGCCCUUU
Non-coding RNA from Pteropus alecto (black flying fox), 296 nucleotides. The record is from Rfam. Lineage: Eukaryota; Metazoa; Chordata; Mammalia; Chiroptera; Pteropodidae.